RNAcentral lists this long non-coding RNA (477 nucleotides) under Eucalyptus grandis. Its description in RNAcentral is "long non-coding RNA (EGRA_LNC006161)". Lineage: Eukaryota; Viridiplantae; Streptophyta; Magnoliopsida; Myrtales; Myrtaceae. The record is from RNAcentral.
CAUUAUCCAUAGAGACUUAAAAGCGACAAACAUCCUGUUGAAUGAAAAAAUGCAAGCGAAAAUAUCUGACUUUGGUCUCUCAAGAACAUUUACAGCUGAGACUGAUGCUCAUGUGUCAACUCGUGCUGGCACUCCUGGCUACCUCGACCUUGAUACUCAUGUAUCAACUCGUGAUGUUGGCACUCUUGGCUACCUCGACCUUGAUACUCAUGUAUCAACUCGUGAUGUUGGCACUCUUGGCUACCUCGACCCUGAGUAAGGGCUUAAACUUAAUCUCAUUAAUAUGCUAUAUGGUCUUUGUAUGGAUAGAAAAUCUAGCUCUCCCUGAGAUUGCAUUGAAGACUCAUGUACUUGUAAGUAGCGUAUACAACUUUACUGAAGAAAAGUUCAGCGUUGACAAAUGACUCUAGAGUCCAAAAAGCAAUAUAUUAAGACCUGGCAAAUUUAUCCUCGGUUGUGUUCUCAUAUGUCCUGCAG